RNAcentral lists this ribosomal RNA (683 nucleotides) under Microbacterium sp. NASA2-27. RNAcentral's name for it is "bacterial SSU rRNA". It matches the Rfam family "Bacterial small subunit ribosomal RNA", at positions 802 to 1483 of the family's 1533-position model. The record is from RNAcentral. Lineage: Bacteria; Bacillati; Actinomycetota; Actinomycetes; Micrococcales; Microbacteriaceae.
GUAAACGUUGGAACUAGUUGUGGGGUCCAUUCCACGGAUUCCGUGACGCAGCUAACGCAUUAAGUUCCCCGCCUGGGGAGUACGGCCGCAAGGCUAAAACUCAAAGGAAUUGACGGGGACCCGCACAAGCGGCGGAGCAUGCGGAUUAAUUCGAUGCAACGCGAAGAACCUUACCAAGGCUUGACAUAUACGAGAACGGGCCAGAAAUGGUCAACUCUUUGGACACUCGUAAACAGGUGGUGCAUGGUUGUCGUCAGCUCGUGUCGUGAGAUGUUGGGUUAAGUCCCGCAACGAGCGCAACCCUCGUUCUAUGUUGCCAGCACGUAAUGGUGGGAACUCAUGGGAUACUGCCGGGGUCAACUCGGAGGAAGGUGGGGAUGACGUCAAAUCAUCAUGCCCCUUAUGUCUUGGGCUUCACGCAUGCUACAAUGGCCGGUACAAAGGGCUGCAAUACCGUGAGGUGGAGCGAAUCCCAAAAAGCCGGUCCCAGUUCGGAUUGAGGUCUGCAACUCGACCUCAUGAAGUCGGAGUCGCUAGUAAUCGCAGAUCAGCAACGCUGCGGUGAAUACGUUCCCGGGUCUUGUACACACCGCCCGUCAAGUCAUGAAAGUCGGUAACACCUGAAGCCGGUGGCCUAACCCUUGUGGAGGGAGCCGUCGAAGGUGGAUCGGUAAUUAGGACUU